AACAAACCUGUCAUUGGUACCUGAACUACAUUUCAGUCACUCAGUAAAGAGAUAAUUCAAAAUAUCAUUGUCAACAGAUCUGAAGAAAUUGCCAGUCUUUAGACCGUUUUCGUCAGACGAGAGACGCAGUUCUGACUGAUUACUGGUUGCUGUACAUAUCUAUCCACAUGAAGGCUGUUGAGAGAGACUCGUGAAGAUUCAAGACAGCUCUUAGAGGAUUUGCAGUUUAAAAGUGAA
This is a long non-coding RNA of Schistocerca serialis cubense, 237 nucleotides long. RefSeq lists it as uncharacterized. Lineage: Eukaryota; Metazoa; Arthropoda; Insecta; Orthoptera; Acrididae. The record is from RefSeq and is a predicted model, not a curated record. The transcript has 3 exons.